RNAcentral lists this ribosomal RNA (376 nucleotides) under uncultured Alphaproteobacteria bacterium. RNAcentral's name for it is "partial 16S ribosomal RNA". It matches the Rfam family "Bacterial small subunit ribosomal RNA", at positions 406 to 799 of the family's 1533-position model. The record is from RNAcentral. Lineage: Bacteria; Pseudomonadati; Pseudomonadota; Alphaproteobacteria.
UGAUGAGGCUUMKGGUUGUAAGCUCUUUUACCAGGGAUGAUAAUGACAGUACCUGGAGAAUAAGCUCCGGCUAACUCCGUGMCAGCAGSCGCGGUAAUACGGAGGGAGCUAGCGUUGUUCGGAAUUACUGGGCGUAAAGCGUACGUAGGCGGUUAUWCAAGUCAGAGGUGAAAGCCUGGAGCUCAACUCCGAGAACUGCCUYUGAAACUAGAUAACUAGAAUCUUGGAGAGGUGAGUGGAAUUCCGAGUGUAGAAGGUGAAAUUCGUAGAUAUUCGGAAGAACACCAGUGGCGAAGGCGGACUCACUGGACAWGUAUGACGCUGAGGCACGARAGCGUGGGGAGCAAACAGGAUUAGAUACCCUGGGKRGUCCACG